UUGACCACUCUCACUCUCUCCGUCUCCCUCUCUUCUCUUCUUCUUCCGCUUUUCAACACACGUUCUAUCUACUCUCCUCAUUUCUACUCGGCAAGCCCUCUCAAAUCAAAGCCAAAGGCAAAAAUCAAUUGUGAUGAUGUUGCCUCUUCGUCGAGCCUUUAAUCCUUUCCGGAAACAAAGUUUUAGGGUUGGGACUUCCCAAAUUUGCAAUGAAUUAGAAACAGCAAGGUGCACAGUGGAGAACUGCAAUUCAGGAUAUACUGGACCUCAUCAACUGAUAUCCAAUAAGCAUUUGUCUCUGACACGAUUCUUCAACACAACAUGUGAUUCUCCAAAAUUACUUCUGGGUACCCGCAGUUUUGCUUCUCAGGCUGGCACAAAGAGCAGUGGAGAAGAUGAUGAUGAUGAUUUGGAGGAUGGGUUUUCUGAACUUGAAACUUCAACUACCUCUAAUAUCACUAAUGAAAGUGAUGCAACCCACAGAAAUGAGGAUGAUUUAAUCUCUGAACCAGAACUCUCUGAAGAGGAUGAUGAUGACAUUGGGGUGCACAAACCUCAAGAUGAGCUGGAAUUAUCAGAUGCUGAGGACGACAAAGGCAAGAAAACUCUGCAGAAAACUGCUUCAUCAGAAUUGUUCAAGGUCAUUUUGGCUGCUCCAGGUUUAUCUGUUCAUAAGGUUGUAGACAAAUGGCUUGAAGAAGGAAAUGAAGUGACCCGCCCUGAAAUAGCAUAUACCAUGCUCAAUCUGCGCAGGCGACGGAUGUUUGGGAGGGCUUUGCAGCUCUCAGAGUGGUUGGAGUUGAAAGGUGGUCACGAGUUUGGUGAGAGAGAAUAUGCUUCUCGUCUUGAUUUGAUUGCCAAAGUGCGUGGUAUUGAGAAGGCAGAAAAUUACAUUCAGAACAUCCCAAAAUCCUUCAGAGGUGAAAUUCUUUAUCGUACUCUAUUAGCUAAUUGUGUGGCUGUAGCAAAUCUGAAAAAGGCUGAGGAUGUUUUCAAUAAGAUGAAGGAUCUGGGGUUCCCAAUUACUAGCUUUGCUUGUAACCAGUUGCUGCUUUUGUAUAAGAGGUGUGAUAAGAAGAAAAUUGCUGAUGUUCUGUUGUUGAUGGAGAAGGAUAAUGUAAAGCCUUCCCUCUUCACAUAUAAAAUUUUGAUAGACGCUAAAGGUCAAUCAUAUGACAUUACUGGGAUGGAAAAAAUUGUGGAGACAAUGAAGGAUGACGACAUAGAACCUGAUUUUGCAACAAAAGCCUUAUUAGCUAGGCACUACAUCUCUGGCGGGCUAAAGGAGAAAGCUGAGAGUCUGUUGCAGGAGAUGGAGGGAGUAGAUAUAAAAGAAAACCGUUGGGCCUGCCACUCUUUCCUUCAUCUAUAUGCAGACCUUGGAAAAGCUGAUGAAGUUCACAGAAUAUGGAAAGUUUGUGAAUCUAGACCGCGGCUUCUGGAAUGCCUAGCAGCUAUUGAAGCUUGGGGAAAGCUAAAGAAGGUCGAAGAAGCAGAAGCAGUCUUUGAAUCUAUGGCGAAAAAAUGGAGUAAGCUGUCUGGGAAGCACUAUUCGGCUCUACUGAAAGUCUAUGCAAAUCAGAAAUUGCUGGACAAAGGGAAGGAUCUUGUGAAGCGGAUGGCUGAUAGUAACUGCUAUAUAGGGCCACUGACUUGGGAUGCGCUUGUUAAGCUUUAUGUUGAUGCUGGUGAAGUGGAAAAGGCUGACUCCAUACUACAGAAGGCUGCAGAACAGAACCGGAUGAGACCACUGUUUAGUUCUUUUAUGGCCAUUAUGGAUCAGUAUUCGAAGAGAGGUGAUGUACACAAUACUGAGAAGCUGUUCCACAAGAUGAGAAAAGUGGGGUAUGUAUCCCGUAUUCGACAGUAUCAAUCGCUUGUUCAGGCCUAUAUUAAUGCCAAGACACCUGUAUAUGGUUUCCAUGAGAGGAUGAAGGCCGACAAUAUAUUCCCCAACAGAGCGUUGGCAGCUCAAUUGGCUCAGGUGGAUCCCUUUAAAAAGACGGCAGUUUCAGACUUGCUCGAUUAAGGUCAAUUUUCUGGUUGCAGAAUUGCUUUCAAGCAAUGCGGUUAUAAAUUGACCACAUCAUCUUCUUCGUAUUCAAAAUUAGUCUUACCAGUCAAAUUAUUUGCUUGUAACUCCGCCAUAGGGUAUGCCGGUAUGCUCCUGCUGACUCGAAUCUGGUUGCUGUGUCUCCGUGAUUCAUUGGUAAAAAGGUUGGUAUUAAAUCUGUCUGCAAUUUGCAAGAUUGCAGCAUGUCAUUAAAGCGAGUCCAAGGAAAAUUUUUGGCUUUUGGUUUAGGGUGUCUUUAACUCUUUCCUAGUUGGGGCAUAAACGUACCAACGAUUAUAUUAUGGGGGGCGCAAAUGAGUCGAAGUACCAAGAUCAGCUUGAAAUUGAGUUUAAUCUCAAGUUAAAUGCCAAACCAUCAGUUAGGUAGGAGACUGCAGUAUCCUAAAAGCCUCCUGAGUCCUGACUGCGUUUUGGUCUAGCCAGUUGUAAGAGCACUGCAAUUGAAUGUUUUAUGCUGCAGGUAGUGUGAGCCCAUAGCAUUGUGCUAGGGAGGAGGGGCUGGAACGGUUACAACCGUUCCGGAAGGUUCACGGCCAUGAUUAGGUCAAAAAAAUUUGUGCGGCUCAGAUCACUUCUUGUAACUUAAUUUUCACAUCGUGUGGGAUCCACAAAAAUGUUGUUCUAGUGUUACUCGUUAUUUUAUUGUUACACCUUAUACAGAUGAUGUUACACCGUGUGCAAAUGGUAUUACACCUUCCAGAGCAACUGUUCCAGCCCUGAAUCCUUGUGCUAGCAUGGUGUCAGAAUCGGCUAUGCCUCUCAGGCACAAUGCAGUUCCACUAGUCAUAAGUCUCCACAGAUUUGAACCCAAGUCUGAUCUAGUUUCUGGAUUUAGAUCCAAAUUUGGCUUAGUACAGAAUACUAGCUGGGAAUAUUUGUAAUAUCAAUUUAACCUUCAAAGGA
RNA transcript from Coffea arabica (coffee), 2977 nucleotides. It is a transcript of the gene named pentatricopeptide repeat-containing protein At1g80270, mitochondrial-like, with no coding region annotated. The record is from RefSeq and is a predicted model, not a curated record. Lineage: Eukaryota; Viridiplantae; Streptophyta; Magnoliopsida; Gentianales; Rubiaceae.